UACAGAGGGGGCAAGCGUUGUUCGGAAUUACUGGGCGUAAAGGGCGCGUAGGCGGCCCGCUAAGUCGAACGUGAAAUCCCCGGGCUCAACCCGGGAACUGCGUCCGAUACUGGCAGGCUUGAAUCCGGGAGAGGGAUGCGGAAUUCCAGGUGUAGCGGUGAAAUGCGUAGAUAUCUGGAGGAACACCGGUGGCGAAGGCGGCAUCCUGGACCGGCAUUGACGCUGAGGCGCGAAAGCGUGGGGAGCGAACCGG
Molecule: ribosomal RNA, 253 nt
Filed under: uncultured bacterium
Lineage: Bacteria
Description: partial 16S ribosomal RNA
Rfam family: Bacterial small subunit ribosomal RNA
Source: RNAcentral